UGCAGUCGCGUGCGCAGUUUCCGUAGCAAUACGGGGAUGGGCGCACGGCGCACGGGUGCGUAACACGUGGGCAAUCUGCCCUCCGAUGGGGAAUACCCCCGCGAAAGCGGGACUAAUUCCGCAUAACAUUCCUUGGAUUAACUUUCGAGGAUUCAAAGCAGCAAUGCGUCGGAGGAGGAGCCCGCGCCCGAUUAGCUAGUUGGUGAGGUAACGGCUCACCAAGGCGAUGAUCGGUAGCUGGUCUGAGAGGAUGGCCAGCCACACUGGAACUGAGACACGGUCCAGACUCCUACGGGAGGCAGCAGUGGGGAAUCUUGCACAAUGGGCGAAAGCCUGAUGCAGCGACGCCGCGUGGGGGAUGAAGCUUUUCGGAGUGUAAACCCCUUUCGACUGGGACGAAUGCCCGCAAGGGAGUGACGGUACCAGUAUAAGAAGCCCCGGCUAACUACGUGCCAGCAGCCGCGGUAAGACGUAGGGGGCCAGCGUUGUUCGGAAUUACUGGGUGUAAAGGGUUCGUAGGCGGUGUGGCAAGUCGGGAGUGAAAUCUCUAGGCUCAACCUAGAGACUGCUUCCGAAACUGCUGUGCUUGAGUGUGAGAGAGGCUCGUGGAAUUGCAGGUGUAGCGGUGAAAUGCGUAGAUAUCUGCAGGAACACCCGUGGCGAAAGCGGCGAGCUGGAUCACUACUGACGCUGAGGAACGAAAGCUAGGGGAGCAAACAGGAUUAGAUACCCUGGUAGUCCUAGCCCUAAACGAUCAGGACUUGGGGUGCCGCCCGUUCGGGCGUCGUCCCGGAGCUAACGCGUUAAGUCCUGCACCUGGGGAGUACGGUCGCAAGACUGAAACUCAAAGGAAUUGACGGGGGCCCGCACAGCGGUGGAACUGUGGUUCAAUUCGACGCUACGC
This 904-nucleotide ribosomal RNA is filed under the name uncultured bacterium. RNAcentral's name for it is "bacterial SSU rRNA". It matches the Rfam family "Bacterial small subunit ribosomal RNA", at positions 56 to 962 of the family's 1533-position model. The record is from RNAcentral.